RNAcentral lists this long non-coding RNA (587 nucleotides) under Homo sapiens (human). Its description in RNAcentral is "non-protein coding lnc-LSM3-1:4". Lineage: Eukaryota; Metazoa; Chordata; Mammalia; Primates; Hominidae. The record is from RNAcentral.
CGGAUAUAAGUCUGUAAAAUCAGAUGGACUGCCAAUUGGAGAAUGAGAGCUGCCCAGCCUGGCCUUAUGUUCUUUCAAUUAAUUCAUAAACAGAAAGGGGGAUAUGCAGGGAGCCGAAGGCCCGUAGGAUUCGGCAUUCCACUGGAGGCUAUGUGAUCAAACAGCAAACUGUUUAUCAUGAAUGCAGAAUGUGGGCAAACUCACAACUGCUCCUGCCGACAGAAGGUUUGCUGGAGGCAAUCACUCCCUGGCACUGAGGUUAUCUACUGCGACAUCUAGAGCCUGUUGUUCGAGGAAUGCAGUCUUGCAAGCCUACUCUGGACUGAGCAGCUGACCCCUUCUUCCACCCCCCUUCUCACUAUCUCUUUUGCCUAAUAAAUAUGGAGGGCUGUGUAAAGCUCAGGGCCCUUGUCUACUAGAAGCAAAGUGCCCCCUGACUCCUUCUUCCAAAUACACUCUUUUGUCUCUUGUCUUUUAUUCCCGCAUUCACUCCCUUUGUUCGGUCCCCCUAGGUCUGUGUGGGUUACACAGUGGCACCCCGAAUAGUGACAGAAUCAGGUGUUCCACAUUUUAUGAACACCCUUCCC